GACGAACGCUGGCGGCGUGCCUAACACAUGCAAGUCGAGCGGAGAUUGAAGGGCUUGCUCUUCAAUCUUAGCGGCGGACGGGUGAGUAACGCGUGGGCAACCUGCCUUACACAGGGGGAUAACACAGGGAAACUUGUGCUAAUACUGCAUAACACAACGACGUGGCAUCACGAUGUUGUCAAAGGAGUAAUCCGGUGUAAGAUGGGCCCGCGUCCGAUUAGCUAGUUGGUGGGGUAAAGGCCUACCAAGGCGACGAUCGGUAGCCGAACUGAGAGGUUGAUCGGCCACAUUGGGACUGAGACACGGCCCAGACUCCUACGGGAGGCAGCAGUGGGGAAUAUUGCGCAAUGGGGGAAACCCUGACGCAGCAACGCCGCGUGAAGGAUGAAGGUUUUCGGAUUGUAAACUUCUUUAGUCGGGGACGAAUAAAUGACGGUACCCGAAGAAUAAGCCACGGCUAACUACGUGCCAGCAGCCGCGGUAA
This 484-nucleotide ribosomal RNA is filed under the name uncultured bacterium. RNAcentral describes it as "partial 16S ribosomal RNA". It matches the Rfam family "Bacterial small subunit ribosomal RNA", at positions 28 to 523 of the family's 1533-position model. The record is from RNAcentral.